Molecule: ribosomal RNA, 81 nt
Filed under: Pedobacter sp. BMA
Lineage: Bacteria; Pseudomonadati; Bacteroidota; Sphingobacteriia; Sphingobacteriales; Sphingobacteriaceae
Description: partial 16S ribosomal RNA
Rfam family: Bacterial small subunit ribosomal RNA
Source: RNAcentral
AGGGUAAAACCGAUAACUGGGGCUAAGUCGUAACAAGGUAGCCGUACCGGAAGGUGCGGCUGGAAUACCUCCUUUCUGGAG